GGUUACCGUGCACAUGGCAAUUAUUCUUAUAUUACAAUGCAAGAAUUAUUAUUUUAUUUAAAAUCUAUUUGCAAUUAUUUUAAAAAUGAUUUUAUGUAAUUGAAAUUUAGUGAUGUAACAGAAGUCUAAAUAACAAUUAACUGACGAUAAUUUUCUGGUUCAUUUAAUGAAAAUAAUUUUUAUUGCAUAAUAAUCGCUUGAGAGGUCAAAGCUUUGUUUGACUGUUCGUUAACCUCGCUAAUUUUCCAUCAACAACUAUAGACUAAAUACGUGUAGAUUUAUGUAUAGUUUUAUACUCUUGAACAAUAAGUGUUAUAAGAGUGUAAAUAAAAAUGAAGUAGAGGCAUAUGAAGACGAUAAUGACGAAGUAAAGUGUAAUGUGAAUAGUGAGAGGUAAUUAUGGGAAGAGUUUGUACAGGUUGACAGUGAGCAAGAUGGUAACAAGAAGACAUGGUUUGUUGAAACGGCUGGAAAUGAAAUAUUGAUCUGGGAAAACGGCGCGCGCAACCCCUGCAGACCCAACCCUAUGUAUUUUUCUCUCUGAUUCUGGCUCUACUCUCUAGGUUGUCUAUCUCAACAUUUACUAGCCAGUAUAGGUAUACCUAUCUACUUCUUCAUCUUUGUCUUUCUUUCAUCACCUUCUAUUCCUUUAUGACAUAAGAAGAAGAAGAAGAAGAAGACCAGGGCAUCCAUCGCCACCAUUUUCUCUUAGGUAUAUAGACUUUUCCUAUUGUAAAUUCAGGCCUCAUCUUAUCUUACUUACAUCUUUGAAUACAAAAAUAUCUUUAAAUUGUUCAGAAGAUCAAAAUAUUAAAAUUUUUAUCCAGGACAUUUUUAUAUUAUUCAAAUGUUUGGUUCUUUAAAUAUUUCAAACAUUAAUGAAGCCGAAAAGUACUAAGUUUCAUUUUUCAUUCAUCCCAUCGAGGGGAUCCAUUAAAUUGAUAUUCUGGGCUUGACGUGAAAAUACUGACGUAGCUUUUUUAAAUCAAUAAAAUUUUAUAUAUGUACAGUCGAAAAUUU
Cotesia glomerata is the source of this 1020-nucleotide long non-coding RNA. RefSeq lists it as uncharacterized. NCBI's taxonomy places the organism in Eukaryota, Metazoa, Arthropoda, Insecta, Hymenoptera, Braconidae. The transcript has 2 exons. The record is from RefSeq and is a predicted model, not a curated record.